UUUGAAUAUCUUUAAAAACCCUAGAGAACUAUUCCUGAAUUCCCUUAAAGAAAUGACAAGAAAGUUUUCUAAGAGCAUUCAGACUGUGUUGAAGAAAAAAUAUGUACAUACACAAGACUUCCAAGUUUGUUUGAACUGUAUAGACUCUGCCUCAUAUAUUGUUUUUCCAUGUCCCAUGCUUGCACAUCUUAUUCAGCAUUUUCCUAGAGGUGUCUCCAGAUUUUGAAUAGCACUGACUGACACAAAAGCCGGAACAGACUACAGAACAACUAGAAUGGAAGACACAAAAUAAAAUAUGUCUGUGUGUCUGUAUGAGCUGUUAUUUGCAAAAGAUGGACAAGCAGAAAAGAAAAGAUAAAAUAAAUGAAUAAACAGAUAGACAAAUUGCAAUAUUGGAAAUUUUCCAUGCAGAUGUAACCAGAUGCUUUCUACUGUAUAUCAGUAGGAUUAUAUAUGCAUACACGGUUAACAUAACAGCAAUCAAAAGGUACUGUGAUUAGAAAAGUCUUCUUGAAAGUUUAAGGUACAAGUGCUGGAAUGACACAUGAUAACAUUAGAAGCUCCAAUAUCACCUAAGAAGUUCACCCAGGUCAGUAAUAUUUUCAUGUUCAAUAAAUGUGAACAUUUUGAUGGACUGGUGUAUGCAGCUUUUAGUCGCCCAAAGACCCUUAGCAGGAUGCUUGCUUUUUAGGGAGUAAGCUGUCUGGCGACUUUGAUAUUUAGUUUAGUUGAGAGGAUAGAAACAGUGACCUGGUCUGACUUCCCAACUCCUGAAGGUUCCCGAGAGCUCCAGGUUCACAUUACUCACAGACUGUCAGAUCAAAAUAAGAGUGAAAGAAAAAAAAAUAAAAACACAGGAACAAACCUACACACACACAAAGAAAAAAUAAGUCUGCAUACCAAAAUCAUGAAAAGAGGAAAAUGAGAAGUGGAAUUUAUAUGCACUAUAAUACAUCACAAAAAAGGCUAGAAGUGUAUCAUCAAUAGCACAUUAAAAUAAAAAAUGAAAGUCAUCAGCUACAGCUUCCUCUCAUAGCUUGUGCAUGCUAAGCUAUAAUAAAUCAGCUCUAAGUGUGAAUAUGAGCUUGAGUAGUUUUCUGUCUUCCUGCGUAAGCCUCUCGUUCAGUGACAGCUACACUUCAGUGCCCCCUUUAAACUGAAUUGGACAUGUGAUAAAUGAAUGGAUGGACGGAUCACGGGAAAAAACACAACAACAAAAAAAACUCUUCACUUGCUUCUCCACUCAGUGAAAGCCAAACAGGUAAACAAACAGUUUUCAAACUGAGUGAUUUUUUUUUCAUGGAUUAACAUGAAAACUCUUUAGCUAAUUCGCAGAUUAUUUGUGAGCCCCUGCAAUUAUUUCUUAAAAGAGCUCCAAUUUAUUUAUUUUUUGCUGCAGAGGAUGCUAAAUGUGCUGAAGCAUUUUUUUCAUAUAGACUCAUCAUUUUGCGUGUGCACUUGUACAUCUUCAAUCAGCCAUGUAUAGAUCCCCAC
Long non-coding RNA from Astatotilapia calliptera (eastern happy), 1494 nucleotides. Lineage: Eukaryota; Metazoa; Chordata; Actinopteri; Cichliformes; Cichlidae. The record is from Ensembl.